Arabidopsis thaliana (thale cress) is the source of this 401-nucleotide long non-coding RNA. RefSeq annotates it as other RNA. NCBI's taxonomy places the organism in Eukaryota, Viridiplantae, Streptophyta, Magnoliopsida, Brassicales, Brassicaceae. The transcript has a single exon. The record is from RefSeq.
ACGUUCUCUCAACCAAUUCUAUUGUCUCAUAAACCAAACGAAAUUACGUUUUAACAUUUAAAACAACAGAAGAGGAAGUGGAGCUCGAACUCCGGUGACGUCAAAAGCUCAAAAUGGACAAGAAUCACUAGAAACCUUUGGACUUUUGGUCGACAUUAUAACACGCUUUUAAAAAUGGACUCGGAGACUCAAAAUUGACGACCCAUUCUCUAGAAGCAAUAUCGGGACACACGCAAAAAUGGAGUAUAUGUCAACGUGUACAAUAAUAUUAUAUAUUGCGAAUCAUAGAAAGAGGUUGCGAGUGGGGGGCCACGCGCCAUUAGGUGAAAGUUCCACCGUGGAAGUCUCAAGUCUCUCCACUUUGUUUACUUUGAAGGGGAAGUCAAAAUCUCUCACCUACA